RNAcentral lists this ribosomal RNA (468 nucleotides) under uncultured bacterium. Its description in RNAcentral is "partial 16S ribosomal RNA". It matches the Rfam family "Bacterial small subunit ribosomal RNA", at positions 28 to 507 of the family's 1533-position model. The record is from RNAcentral.
GACGAACGCUGGCGGCGUGCUUAACACAUGCAAGUCGAACGGAAAGGCCCUGCUUUUGUGCGGUGCUCGAGUGCCGAGCACGUGUGUAUCACGUGAGUAACCUGCCCUUGACUUUGGGAUAACUUCAUGAAACUGGGACUCAUAUACGGCAUGAGCUCCUGAUACAUGGUGGUGAUGUGAGAAAGUCGGCGGUUCAGGAUGCACUGGCGGCUUAUCGGCUUGUUGGUGAGGUGGUGGCGUACAAGGGCUUCGAGGGGUAGCCGGACUGAGAGGGUGACCGGCCACAUUGGGACUGAGGUACGGCCCAGACGGCUACGGGAGGCAGGAGUGGGGAAUAUUGCACGAUGGGCGGAAGCCUGAUGCAGCAACGCCGCGUGCGGGAUGACGGCCUUCGGGGUGUAAACCUCUUUCGCCUGUGACGAAGCGUGAGUGACGGUAACGGGUAAAGAAGCACCGGCUAACUACGUG